Molecule: small nucleolar RNA, 107 nt
Organism: Tripterygium wilfordii
Lineage: Eukaryota; Viridiplantae; Streptophyta; Magnoliopsida; Celastrales; Celastraceae
Source: RefSeq, a predicted model, not a curated record
AAAGUAUGAUGAGAGCAUUGAUUCAAUAAAUUAUUAAAUAUUUCUCAUGCCUCAGAAAGAGACUCCUUUGGUUAUUGCUCAAAUUGCAUGAUCUUGUCUCUUAAUGU